This 725-nucleotide ribosomal RNA is filed under the name uncultured archaeon. Its description in RNAcentral is "bacterial SSU rRNA". It matches the Rfam family "Archaeal small subunit ribosomal RNA", at positions 145 to 873 of the family's 1478-position model. The record is from RNAcentral.
GCUAAUAUUAGAUAGAUAAAAGAUACUGGAAUGUUCUUUUAUCCAAAGCUUUUGCGCCUGAGGAUGGGCCUGCGUCCGAUUAGGUUGUUGGUGGGGUAAUGGCCCACCAAGCCUGCGAUCGGUACGGGCAGUGAGAGCUGAAGCCCGGAGUUGGGGACUGAGACAAGGCCCCAGGCCCUACGGGGCGCAGCAGGCGCGAAACCUCUGCAAUGCGGGAAACCGUGACAGGGGGAUCCCAAGUGCUCAUGCAUUGCAUGGGCUGUUCUUUGGUCUAAGUAACCAGAGGAGUAAGGGCUGGACAAGACCGGUGCCAGCCGCCGCGGUAAUACCGGCAGCUCAAGUGGUAGCCGCGAUUAUUGGGCCUAAAGCGUUCGUAGCCGGAUAAGUAAGUCUUUGGUUAAAUCCUGCAACUUAACUGUGGGAAAUCUAGAGAUACUGCUUGUCUUGAGACCGGGAGAGGUUGGAGGUACUCCCAGGGUAGGGGUGAAAUCCUGUAAUCCUGGGGGGACCACCUGUGGCGAAGGCGUCCAACUGGAACGGGUCUGACGGUGAGGGACGAAACCUAGGGGAGCGAGCCGGAUUAGAUACCCGGGUAGUCCUAGGCGUAAAUGAUGCGAGUUAAGUGUGGGGGCAUCUACGAGAUGGCCCUGUGCUGUAGGGUAGCCGUUAAACUCGCCGCCUGGGGAGUACGGUCGCAAGGCUGAAACUUAAAGGAAUUGGCGGGG